AGAGUUUGUAUCCUGGCUCAGGAUGAACGCUGGCGGCGUGCUUAACACAUGCAAGUCGAACGGACCCAUAUUGAAACCUAGUGAUAUAUGGGUUAGUGGCGGACGGGUGAGUAACGCGUGGGUAACCUGCCUUACACAGGGGGAUAACACUUAGAAAUAGGUGCUAAAACCGCAUAAGCGCACAGCUUCGCAUGAAGCGGUGUGAAAAACUCCGGUGGUGUAAGAUGGACCCGCGUCUGAUUAGCUUGUUGGCGGGGUAACGGCCCACCAAGGCGACGAUCAGUAGCCGGCCUGAGAGGGCGGACGGCCACAUUGGGACUGAGACACGGCCCAGACUCCUACGGGGAGGCAGCAGUGGGGAAUAUUGCACAAUGGGGGAAACCCUGAUGCAGCGACGCCGCGUGAGUGAAGAAGUAAUUCGUUACGUAAAGCUCUAUCAGCAGGGAAGAAAAUGACGGUACCUGAGUAAGAAGCCCCGGCUAACUACGUG
RNAcentral lists this ribosomal RNA (490 nucleotides) under uncultured Eubacteriales bacterium. RNAcentral describes it as "bacterial SSU rRNA". It matches the Rfam family "Bacterial small subunit ribosomal RNA", at positions 8 to 507 of the family's 1533-position model. The record is from RNAcentral. Lineage: Bacteria; Bacillati; Bacillota; Clostridia; Eubacteriales.